GGGGAUUUAGCUCAGCGGCAUAAGCGCCUGCCUUGCAAGCAGGAAGUCAUGAGUUCAAUCCCUG
This 64-nucleotide transfer RNA is filed under the name Cavia porcellus (domestic guinea pig). It matches the Rfam family "tRNA". From Rfam's summary of the family: Transfer RNA (tRNA) molecules are approximately 80 nucleotides in length. Their secondary structure includes four short double-helical elements and three loops (D, anti-codon, and T loops). The record is from Rfam by way of RNAcentral. Lineage: Eukaryota; Metazoa; Chordata; Mammalia; Rodentia; Caviidae.